AGUCCGUGUGAGGGCAGCCUUGGCCUACGGGGUGCGUCGGCUGGACCCAGGCGGACAGGACCUUGGGAGGGAGGGGAGGAGCCCUGUAGGUUCCGCGGAGAGCUACGAGUUUGCUUAGCUCGCAGGACGUCAGAGCUGGUGACGUCCGAUGCAAGGGCCUACGCCACAGCCACAGCAAUGCGGGAUCCGAGUCAUGUCUGCGACCUACACCACAGCUCACAGCAAGGCCAGAUCCUUAACCCACUGAGCGAGGACAGGGAUCAAACCCUCAACCUCAUGGUUCCUAGUCGGAUUCGUUAACCACUGAACCACGACGGGAACUCCGGGCCUACACCACAGCAACACCAGAUCAGAGCCACGUCUGUGACCAGCACCACAGUUCAGGGCAACACCAGAUCCUUAACCCACUGAACAAAGGCCAGGGAUUGAACCCGCAACCUCAUGGUUCCUAGUUGGAUUCGUUAACCACUGAGCCACGACGGGAACGCCUCUUUUUAAAUUAUAGUUUUGUCCAGAUAUAUGGAUUGCUGUAUCAUAUGGUAGUUUUAUAUUGCCUUUUCUGAGGAACCCGCAUACUGUUUUCCAUAGUGGUUGUAUCAGUUUACAUUCCUCCAGCCAUGCAGGAGGGUUCCACACCCUCUGCAGCAUUUGUUAUUUGUAGCUUAUGAAUGAUGGCCACUCUGACCAGUAAGAGGUGGUAUCUCACUGUAGUUUUGAUUUGCAUUUCUCUAAUAAUUAGUGAUGUUGAACAUCUUUUAUGUGCCUACUGGCCAGCUGUAUGUCUUCCUUGGAGAAAUGACUAUUUAGGUCUUCUGCACAUUUUUCGAUUAGGUUGUUCGUUCUUUUGUCGUUGAGUUGUAUGAGUUUUGUUUUUUUUUUUUGUAUUUUGGAGGUGAAGCCCUUAUUGGUUGCAUCAUUUGCAACUAUUUUCUUCCAUUCCGUAGGUUGUCUUUUCAUUUUGUUUAUGGUUUCCUUUGAUGUGCAAAAGCUUGUAAGUUUGAUUAGUUUCCAUUUGUUUAUUUUUUUCUAUUGCCUUGGGAGACUGACCUAAUAAGACAUUUGUAUGGUUUGUCUUCUCUGCCCCGUUUUUACAUGAGUGAUAGCAUAUCCCAUACAUUCUUCUGCUCCUCACUUUUUUUCAUUUAAUGUACAUCUUGGAAAUAACAACAGUAAUGUAAUAACAGUAAUAUAACAUGAGGGAAACCCACAUGUCUCAUAAUGAGCCUCCACUACGUGUCAGGUGCUGUUCUAAGCACUUCAGAUGUUAUAAUUCACACCGUGCUUGUCAGAAUCCUGUGUGGUAGGUACUUGGUAUGAAUCCCCAUUGUUAAGAGGUUAAGUAAUUUUCCGAGAUUUCACAGCUGAUACUUGGCAGAGGCAAGAUUCAAUCCCGGGCCAUCUGACUUUAGAUUAGUUGUCCUUUGUCCCUGCCCCAUUGCUGCUCACGCUUGUGUCAUGUCACUGUGGACGCUUGCUCUUCCCGAGGGCCAAGGUGGGAGAGAUGCUGGUUAUUGAACUCUUGCCAUGGCCAGGCUCAGGCUGGGAUGCAGCAAAGAAUAAGAAAGACUAGGUCUCUGCUCUCUUAGAACUGGCAUCCCAGGGCCUACAAGUGUCUGUCAGCCAAAGCAGGAGGAGGGAAACCCACGUGUCGCCUACACUCACACGCCCGUGUCCAGUGUGCUGCUCACACGCACCCUGUUCCUUUUAUCCACUGGUCCUUUACUCACUCAGCCUCUGAGCUGGAAGGCCUUGGGGCCCAGUGCUCAAGGUAGGAACGUGGAGGUCUAGACGGAGGAGACACUUGUGAGGGAUCACAGCGUGGCCCUCGUGAACCUCAUCCCCUGCCCCCCCGGGAUCCAUUUCAGCAGGGCUGGUGGAGGCGUCUCUAAUCCAGGGCCCAACCAUUGUUUGAAGUUGGGAACAAUUGAAGGGCAAGGGAGCUAUAGAUAGAUCCACAGCUGCUAUCACCUGUUCCAGCCUGGGCACUGGCCCAAGCAUUGUCUGCAUGGGGGUACUCUACCAAGGCCCACUGCGGGUGGGAGGCUGGUUCAGCCUCGCCCAGCUCUAGAGAGACUGAAUCAGAGGCCCAGACAGAGAAAUACAGAAUCUCAGAGGGUGGAAACCGACAGGGUAACUCAGAAAGACCCAGACCCUUGAGAGAUACUAGAGGCUCCCACCAAAUGCCAGGAACACUGAGGCUGGGUGGGGCUGGGAGAGCUGCACUUGUAUAUUUCUCUCUGGGGCAACCACUUCCCGGACUCUUCCUGAGGCAGUCAGAGGUACUUUGGGGAGUGCUCUUGGAGACCCCUGGGGGCUUUGAAAUGGAGAGGUUGUGGAGUUCCUGUUGUGGCUCAGUGAUAAUGAACCCAACUAGUAUCCAUGAGGACACAGGUUUGAUCCCUUGCCCGGGUCAGUGGGUUGAGGAUCCAGCAUUGCCAUGAGCUGUGGUGUAGGUUGCAGAUGCGGCUUAGAUCCCACAUUGCUGUGAUAUAGGCUGGCAGCUGCAGCUCCGAUUAGACCCCUAGCCCGGGAACUUCCAUAUGCUGCAAGUGGGCCCUAAAAAGACCAAAAAAAAAAAAAAAAAAAAAAAAAAAGAAAGAAAGAGAGAGAGAGGUCAUGCUGCUGGAUCUAGUCAUUGCUUUAAUUAUUGUGUGACCUUGGGCAGGGACCUGCUUCUUCCUCUGUGCCUCGGUUUCCCCAGCUGCUCAAUGAGAGAUGGUUUGCAUGACCACUAAAAGGCCUUUUCGUCCUCUGAUGCCUGUCAGGACAUUUUCCUCGUGUUUCUAACCUCUCUCCCUCUUGCUGCCGGCCAAGGCCACAGUCCCCUCCUCUGUUUGUCCUUUGUGAGGAUGGGGGACAGCUGGUCCCCCGUCCCCUCCCCCCCCAGUAACCUUUUAGCCAUAAAUCCAUGCUGAGGCGUCUCUCCACCGGAUAAACAGCCCUGAUACCUUUUGGCUGCCCUCGUCCUAUUUUCUGCUUGAAGUAUCAGAGCCGGGGCCCACUCGGGCCCUCUGCAGCUGCCCAGGGCCCCAGGAGGGGAACAAGCCUUGGACCAGCAGGGCCCCCACCACCCCCAGGGUGCCAGGGUGGAGGGCCCCUCCUUGGGCCUCACCACCUCACAUUUGGACCCUUAUGGCAGCCGCCUCCCAAGUAAGUCUUCCUGCCACCGGUCUCGCCCCUGCAGUCCAUCCUCCACACCAGCUGCCACGGGGAUCUGGUGAACACAUAAAUCUGACCACACUGUCAAAUGCCCUUGCUCAGAGCUCUUUGAUGAAAACAAUAAAAUAAAAAAUGCCUUUGAUGGCUCCCCAACUCCUGCAGGCUAAAGCCCCGAACCCUAAUCUGGCCUUUGAAGCCCUUCGCAGUCCAGUCCGCACUGCUCCGUCCAGCCUUACCUCAGCCUGUGUGGCUGCUCUGGACCGGGAGUUUGGGUUCUUGCUCUCGUCACCUCUUCUCUCUCUUUGGUGCCUCUCCUCACCCAGGCCCCUCCUCUCUCCCUGGCUGGCCACAGCCUCUUCACUGGUCUCCCUGUGGCAUCUCUUGCCCCUUCUAGUCCAUUCUCAAUAUGGCAGCCAAAGUGAUCUUUUUUCUUUUUUGUUUUUAGGGCCUGUGGCAUAUGGGGGUUCCCAGGCUAGGGGUCAGCUCAGAGCUACAGCUGCAGGCCUACACUACAGCCAUGCAGGAUCCAAGCUUUGUCUGCAACCUACACCACAGCUCAUGGUAACACUGGAUCUUUAACCCACUGAGCGAGGCCAAGGAUCGAACCCACAUCCUCAUGGAUACCAGUUGGAUUUGUUACCGCUGAGCCACAAUGGGAACUCCCAGAGUGAUCAUUAUAAACUCCAGACCA
Molecule: long non-coding RNA, 3850 nt
Filed under: Sus scrofa (pig)
Lineage: Eukaryota; Metazoa; Chordata; Mammalia; Artiodactyla; Suidae
Description: lncRNA (ENSSSCG00045011425.1)
Source: RNAcentral